CAAGGCCAGCAAAUACAAAAAUAAACAUCAUAAAGGUAAAUUGAAGUGCACCUCACAUAACAUUCCAGAUGAAAAAUAUAACGGCAGGGUAACAUACAUUGGNNNNNNNNNNCUUUUUGAGGAAUAUACGUCUUGAAUUAUUGAUCCAACUACACAGUCCCGAGGCUUGAAAUCCUUGUAGAAGCACAAAUAAAGUUCCUGUACAGCACCUUCUGAGCAAACCAGUGAUGGGGUUGCAUGGAAAGCAUUCUCAAUGGCAGAGACAAGACCUCCAAGAGGAUAUUUUUCAGUAUUUGAAGGAAUAUAUCCCGCUUCAUUCAGUACUUUCGUGACAUUAUACUUAAAGUAUACAUUAAGGGCUGUUACAAAAUAACUGUAUUCGUCUUGGACAACUGGAGAGGAGCAAGUCCCAUGCUUCUCCCACUCAUGUGCCCAAAAUGAUCCUUUUGUACCAUGACAAGUUGACGAUGAACCACAACUUAAUGAUGGCCAAUACUUCUUUAGACCAUCAAGCAAUGUUGAGAUCUCUUUUUCUUCAAAAUCCGAUCGCCUGCAACAGGCAGGCCAGGUUCCAUCGUUAUAGUCAGGCCACAGCCCAUGGAUUGUAAAUUCAGUUGGAGCAUUUGAACCUCGGCAGCAAGCAUUAGAGGAGCAGCAAUGGCGAGUGUGCUGGCAGUAAGUGCCAGGCCAUUGCAGAGCCAACUUGAAAUAAUCGAACUCUCUUUGUCGUGGUCUCGGCGAACCUCAUCAACCAUGCAAAACGAAACCAUUAGGAGGAGGAGGAAAGCAAGCUGAAGAUGAAGUAGUGUUGAUUUGACAGAGAGAGACGCCAUUGAUUGAAGAAGUG
This 847-nucleotide unclassified non-coding RNA is filed under the name Hevea brasiliensis (rubber tree). Lineage: Eukaryota; Viridiplantae; Streptophyta; Magnoliopsida; Malpighiales; Euphorbiaceae. The record is from RNAcentral.